RNAcentral lists this small RNA (495 nucleotides) under Pongo abelii (Sumatran orangutan). RNAcentral describes it as "processed transcript". Lineage: Eukaryota; Metazoa; Chordata; Mammalia; Primates; Hominidae. The record is from RNAcentral.
CUGGAAGUCGAGGAGCUCACCAGGCAGCGGAACCAGCUUGAGUUAGAACUAAAACAGGAAAAAGAAAGAAGAUUACAAAACGACAGGAGCAUCCCAGGAAGGGGUUCCCAGAAGUCAGAAUCCAAGAUGGAUGGGAAGCACAAAAUGCAAGAGGAAAAGGUUAAACUAAAAAAGCCCCUGGAAGAAAGCCACAGAAUGUGUGUAAGAACUGCAGAGGAACCUUCUGUGAUGCCUGUUCAACAAAUGAACUGCCUCUUCCUUCAAGUAUCAAGCUUGAGCGAGUUUGCAAUCCCUGUCACAAGCAUCUGAUGAAGCAAUAUUUUACCAGCCCAUCAUAAGACUGGAGGCCAAGACCUAGACCAAAACGUUUACGCAGGCUCCUCUGUACCUGUGUUUUAGCUGUCAGGAUCUCAUAGAGCCCAGUUCUUAGAGUCAACUAAAGAGUUGAUAGGAAUUUACUAGGUCCAGGGAGAAAAGGCAGUGGUUGGGGUUACU